RNAcentral lists this ribosomal RNA (253 nucleotides) under uncultured bacterium. RNAcentral describes it as "partial 16S ribosomal RNA". It matches the Rfam family "Bacterial small subunit ribosomal RNA", at positions 524 to 776 of the family's 1533-position model. The record is from RNAcentral.
GACGUAGGUACCGAGCGUUAUCCGGAUUUACUGGGCGUAAAGCGUGUUCAGGCGGCCGCGCCAGUCGGGCAUGAAAUCUCUCGGCUCAACCGGGAGGGGUUGUCCGAUACUGCGCGGCUGGAGGGCAGUAGAGGGUGGUGGAAUUCCGGGUGUAGUGGUGAAAUGCGUAGAGAUCCGGAGGAACACCAGUGGCGCAAGCGGCCACCUGGACUGUACCUGACGCUCCAACACGAAAGCUAGGGGAGCGAACGGG